AUUGAACGAUGGCGGCAGGCUUAACACAUGCAAGUCGAGCGGGGGAAGGUAGCUUGCUACCGGACCUAGCGGCGGACGGGUGAGUAAUGCUUAGGAAUCUGCCUAUUAGUGGGGGACAACAUCUCGAAAGGGAUGCUAAUACCGCAUACGUCCUACGGGAGAAAGCAGGGGAUCUUCGGACCUUGCGCUAAUAGAUGAGCCUAAGUCGGAUUAGCUAGUUGGUGGGGUAAAGGCCUACCAAGGCGACGAUCUGUAGCGGGUCUGAGAGGAUGAUCAGCCACACUGGGACUGAGACACGGCCCAGACUCCUACGGGAGGCAGCAGUGGGGAAUAUUGGACAAUGGGGGGAACCCUGAUCCAGCCAUGCCGCGUGUGUGAAGAAGGCCUUAUGGUUGUAAAGCACUUUAAGCGAGGAGGAGGCUACUCUAGUUAAUACCUAGGGAUAGUGGACGUUACUCGCAGAAUAAGCACCGGCUAACUCUGUGCCAGCAGCCGCAGUAA
Molecule: ribosomal RNA, 501 nt
Filed under: uncultured bacterium
Lineage: Bacteria
Description: partial 16S ribosomal RNA
Rfam family: Bacterial small subunit ribosomal RNA
Source: RNAcentral